AGGAAGAGCAAGCAACUGCGAUUGCCACAGUAACGGCGAGUGAAUGGGCAACCGAUUCGUCUCUACCCGAAGUGAAUCCCUAUCGCACUCUGUGCGUUCGGCUCUCGUGGGUUUCAAUGAAUGCUGUGGGCUAUGGAUCGGAUGGCUGUGCCUAGGUCUGGCUGUGCACCAGGAAGUGACCUGGAAUGGUCCACGACACAGGGUUACUGUCCCGUACUGAUGACUGUGUGCAUGGCCAGCCUGGGUGUGGCUGUUCGAAUCCCGGAGUAGAGUGGCUUGGGACUGCAGUUUGAAGUGCAAGGUGUAUCCAUUGCAAGGCAGCAUACCGACAUGGGACCGAUAGCGCACAAGUAGAGUGAUUGAAGGAUGCAAAGGACUUUGCAAAGAGGGUUAAAAGUCCCUGAAGCCUCGACGGGAGCGGCGGAAAGUGGUGCUGUGGUUCUCGGUCAGUGGGCCACUGGCUGCAUCGCUGUCGCAUCGUGCGGUAGUCCUUCCCGGAUCGCCCACGACGGCUGUGUGUGGCUGGUGGAUUGCCCCCACGACCGCUGCCCCUCUGUGGUGGCAGGCACCCUCCGGGGUGUGAUGUUGACAUCCAAGUGGCCUUGGGCCAGCCCAGCGCUGGCCACUGAGCCCCGUCCACACCAGGAUGGGAUGCAAUCGUGGCAGUGUGUGGUGGCACCCUGCUUGCCAGGGCCUGAGGUUUGCAGAGUCUCCAGCGAGAAUGUGUAUGCUUGGCAACACACUGGGAUCACAAGGUGGCUGUGUCGUCCCAGAUGGUUCCUCUGUCGAGGCGAGGCGAUGCAUGGUCAUCCCCAGCAAUUGUGUAGCCUGUGAGUGAGCAUCAUCAUUGGUGUGAAUGUUGUUGGCCAAACCCUGGUGUUGUCUCCGGACAUCCCAGGUGUGCCGUGCCUGGACAUGGAUCCGAGGCUUGUGGCUGCAUGGGGCUGCACUGCUCUGACGGUGGCUCCUGUGUGAUCGCUUGUCUCCCAGACGGUGCACGGUGCUAAGGCAGCUGAGCUUGGUACAGCAGUGCCACUCUCUGCCCGUCUUGAAACACGGACCAAGGAGUCUAUGGAGCUUGCAGGUUUGCAGGUGAUUGUGCAAAACCACAGGGCGUGGUGAAGGCAAACCUAUCCCAGAUGGUGCAUGGAAGUGUCAAGCCAAGCGAUUGGCCAUCGCUGCUGCGCAGGGUAUGUGGAACUGUCUGUGCCCAGUGUGCACUUUGGUUCGAUCGCAAGGGCUGUGUGAACUCUCUGUGUGAAUGCUGCAUGGGACACCGGUCCCGAAGUCCAGUGGACAGGGUUCUGAGUGCUUGCAAGGUCCAUGGGACCCGAAAGGUGGUGAACUAUACCGUUCUACGACGAAGCCGUGGGAAACUGCGGUGGAGGUCGGUCGCUGUUCUGACGUGCAAAUUGUGUAGCCUGAGUGCGGCAUAGGGGUGAAAGGCCAAUCGAGCCACCUAGUAGC
This 1467-nucleotide ribosomal RNA is filed under the name Trachelomonas volvocinopsis var. spiralis. RNAcentral's name for it is "partial large subunit ribosomal RNA". It matches the Rfam family "Eukaryotic large subunit ribosomal RNA", at positions 54 to 951 of the family's 3401-position model. The record is from RNAcentral. Lineage: Eukaryota; Euglenozoa; Euglenophyceae; Euglenales; Euglenaceae.